This 353-nucleotide long non-coding RNA is filed under the name Lathyrus oleraceus (garden pea). Its description in RNAcentral is "Pisum sativum (pea) long non-coding RNA (PSAT_LNC014787)". The record is from RNAcentral. Lineage: Eukaryota; Viridiplantae; Streptophyta; Magnoliopsida; Fabales; Fabaceae.
UGGUUGGUCAUGGGGAGGUGUUUGUAGGUGAUGUUAAGGAGGUUCUGUUUAUUGUUGGUUUUGCAGCAAAAGAAAAGCUGAGAGUAAGGAAACCAAAAAAUAUGAGGGUGACUGAAAGAAAAAUGAAAAAAAUGGAAGUAGAGAGAGGUAAGGUUGAAGAAAAUGAUAUGGUGAUUGUUGUCAACGUCUUAUCCUAUUGGUGACUUUUUUCUAUUUUUUUUGUUUUGAUUUUUGUGAUUUUGAAUUUUAGAGAGAGAGAGAGAGAGAGAGAGUAUCAAGUUGAUGUGAAUGAAGGUGGCGUGCUUUUUUCCUAUACACAUUUUCUCCUCUCCACGUUUAUUCCCUUUUCUUUU